Molecule: long non-coding RNA, 478 nt
Organism: Harpia harpyja (harpy eagle)
Lineage: Eukaryota; Metazoa; Chordata; Aves; Accipitriformes; Accipitridae
Exons: 3
Source: RefSeq, a predicted model, not a curated record
GUGGAGUGUGUGUUUAUCUUUAAGUGUUCUGAGGACUGGCAAACAUCCCAGCUGAGCCAGAUAUGCGCUCCUGUGUUAGUAACAUAUAAAUGUGCUGUAAGAGACAAUAAAGAGAUCUUUUUGCUGUUUCUUCGGAACCAUCUUGUUGUCAUCCUGGGUGCCUCUUUCAUCGCUGCAUUUUUGGUGCCCCGCGUGAGGUUCCAGGGGAGUGCAGAAAGCUCAGAGGAACUUUCCGACGACCCGCAACCCAACAGAGGGUAUGUGUGUGUUCUUCUACCAGCAGGACCCAGGUGGCUGCCCACUUAUCACGUCAAACCCUAUCAUGAGCUGGCAAAACCACUCAGACAACCCAAUCCCACAGAUGAAGACUCUGAAUUUGAAAGAGGAGAAACGAAUGAGGAGGAAGCGGUGCAUAGAGAAUGAAAAAGCUAUCACGUAGGGACAUUUGAAGAGAAUGCAACAAUAAGCUAGCGUGAUG